RNAcentral lists this ribosomal RNA (254 nucleotides) under uncultured bacterium. RNAcentral describes it as "partial 16S ribosomal RNA". It matches the Rfam family "Bacterial small subunit ribosomal RNA", at positions 524 to 777 of the family's 1533-position model. The record is from RNAcentral.
UACGAAGGGAGCAAGCGUUGCUCGGAUUUAUUGGGCGUAAAGGGUGUGUAGGCGGUUUGAUAAGUUAGAUGUGAAAGCCCAGGGCUUAACCCUGGAAUUGCAUUUAAGACUGUUAGACUUGAAGAUUGGAGAGGUAAGCAGAAUUCCCAGUGUAGAGGUGAAAUUCGUAGAUAUUGGGAAGAAUACCAAUGGCGUAGGCAGCUUACUGGCCAAAUCUUGACGCUGAGGCACGAAAGCGUGGGGAGCAAACAGGG